UACGGGGGGGGCAAGCGUUGUUCGGAAUUACUGGGCGUAAAGGGCUCGUAGGCGGCCAACUAAGUCAGACGUGAAAUCCCUCGGCUUAACCGGGGAACUGCGUCUGAUACUGGAUGGCUAGAGGUUGGGAGAGGGAUGCGGAAUUCCAGGUGUAGCGGUGAAAUGCGUAGAUAUCUGGAGGAAUACCGGUGGCGAAGGCGGCAUCCUGGACCGGCAUUGACGCUGAGGAGCGAAAGCCAGGGGAGCAAACGGG
This 253-nucleotide ribosomal RNA is filed under the name uncultured bacterium. RNAcentral's name for it is "partial 16S ribosomal RNA". It matches the Rfam family "Bacterial small subunit ribosomal RNA", at positions 524 to 776 of the family's 1533-position model. The record is from RNAcentral.